UACGGGGGGAGCAAGCGUUGUUCGGAUUUACUGGGCGUAAAGGGCGCGUAGGCGGCCAGCGCAAGUCAGUUGUGAAAUCUCCGGGCUUAACUCGGAACGGUCAACUGAUACUGUGCGGCUAGAGUGCAGAAGGGGCAACUGGAAUUCUUGGUGUAGCGGUGAAAUGCGUAGAUAUCAAGAGGAACACCUGCGGCGAAGGCGGGUUGCUGGGCUGACACUGACGCUGAAGCGCGAAAGCUAGGGGAGCGAACGGG
RNAcentral lists this ribosomal RNA (254 nucleotides) under uncultured bacterium. RNAcentral's name for it is "partial 16S ribosomal RNA". It matches the Rfam family "Bacterial small subunit ribosomal RNA", at positions 524 to 776 of the family's 1533-position model. The record is from RNAcentral.